This 10473-nucleotide long non-coding RNA is filed under the name Lathyrus oleraceus (garden pea). RNAcentral describes it as "Pisum sativum (pea) long non-coding RNA (PSAT_LNC019562)". Lineage: Eukaryota; Viridiplantae; Streptophyta; Magnoliopsida; Fabales; Fabaceae. The record is from RNAcentral.
CUCAAUCUCUCACUCUCUGAUCCUCCAACAGAAAUAAAAAAAGAAAAUAGGAAGGGCACCCACUCUCUCUCUACUCUCUGAAAAAUAAAAAUAAAAGAUAAAAGGUCAGACUUAAGAAAGAAGAGAAAAACUUGUCCUCUUCUUCUCCACAGUGACGGCCACGCAACAGUACCUCUCUUCCUCACGUUAGAACUCUUCACGCCUCCAUCGCGCGACACCUACUCUCUCCGGCCUCCGCGUCAACCUUCACACUCACCUCACGCUAACCACCACGACACUCUUCCACCGAAAACCGCGUCCACCUCCUUCGAUUCACCGUCGAACCUCAUUCGCACACUCCGCUCCCUCUCCUCCUUCGCACACUCUUCUCCCUCCCCUUCUCCACGUGGACCCCUUCCAUUCACCUUCCUCAACUCACCGCCGGAAUCAUCCACGAACCUCUCAUGAACAACACUCUUCUGUCCGUCACCAACAUCCGCCGGAAACCGCCACUCGCACCCUCCAAAAACUAUCCGUCAAACAACAACAUCACCACCGAACCACAUCCUCACUUCCGACGCACCCUUACAAACAUUCUGAUGCCGUUCACCUCCGUGAAACACUCAUAUAACAAGAUUCCUAACUAUGACUUUUGUUUUCGCUCAAAGCUCCCACUACACAGUCUUUUCGGUAACCCCAAGAAAUUUUCUGCUAAUGGUUAUGUAUAGUUUGAAUAUUUGAGUUUCAAUUCGGCUUGGCUGUAUAUAAAUUUAAGUUUGUGAUAGUUUUGGAAUUAUACCAUUGUGUACAUUGUUGUUGAUGUUGUUUAGUUGUUUUUGCUUGCACUGUAUUGUAUCGGUUUUGUUUUCAGCUAUGAUUGCUCUUCUUCGAACCAUUUCAGGCGUGUUGAUACUAUUUCUGUUUUGCUUUUGUUGAGAAUAUGGUAUUGAUAUUGUAAAUGUUGUUUGGGUUGCUACUUCUACUGGUAGUUAGUGUUGAUUGAUGAAAAGAAUAAUGAAAAGGGAGAGAAAAAUGCAAAAGAAAGUGUAUUUCACGUCUGUGUUAUAUUUUAUGAUUUUUUUUCUCUCCAAAAUCCAUUUCCACAUGACUCGUUAUCAAUGGUUGAUAGUUAAUAUUGAAAAGUCAAACUAAUAUUUUUACUUUGGGUUUCUAAUUGUUUUUACAUAAAACUAUCAUUAUUGAUAGUAGUAUUUAAGUUUAGAAUAAGUUUCAUAUUUAGGUUCAUUAGAAUACUGAUAAGAUAGGCCCAUUUUCUACUCAUUUUGUGCAUCCUUGUUAAAUUAACUUUGUAAAUAUAUAAAUAAUAUUUGUGAUAUUAUUUAUGAUGAUAUUAUUUCAUUCAAUUUUAAGUCCUAUUAAAUUGAUGGAUUCGACUUUUACGUGUCGUUAUGCCGUCCAAAAUUUCACUACAAUUCAAUUCAUUCAUAAGCACCCAUCCACACCUCGAUCCAACAUCGAGUAUUUUUAUUCAAAUUAAAUUAAAAUACCUAAUUACAAUUAAAUAUCAUUUCAUAAUAACGAAAUGAAAAUGGGGAUGGUUUUGAGUUUUCAACUCCUCUCCUCGAUUAUUUGAAUACGAGUUCUCUUGCUCGGUUAGUCAAAUAAUUGUCAUUUCUAACUCGCCUAAGCUUAUUGAGAUCAAACUAUUUUCAUAAUAACGAAAUGAAAAGGGGGAUGGUUUUGAGCCUUCAACUCCUCUCUCCAAUUGUUUGAAUACGAGUUUUCUUACUCGGUCAGUUAGACAAUUGUCGUUUCUCUACAAACUUCUAAACCCGAUUAAAUCAAAACACUCUUAUAAGAACGAAAUGAAAAGGGAGAUGGUUUUAAGCCUUUAACUCCUCUCCUCGAUUGUUUGAAUACGAGUUUUCUUACUCGAUUAGUUAGACACUCGUCAUUUCUUUACAAACCUUUAACUAGAUUAAAUCAAACUAUUUCAUAAUAACAAAAUGAAAAGGGAGAUGGUUUUGAGUUUUCAACUCCUCUCCUCAAUUGUUUGAAUACGAGUUCUCUUACUCGAUUAGUCAAACAACUCUCAUUUUUCCACAAACUUAUAACUUAAUCAAAUCAUUUUCACAAUAAACUAUGCGAAAGGGGAUAUGGUCUUGAGUCUUCGAUUCCUCUCCUCAAAUGCUUGGAUAUGAGUUUUUUUACUCAGCCAUUCGAGUACUUGUCAUUGAUUCUAAAAAUAAAUCAACCAUACAUAAUCCUAUAUUCACAAUCACUCAGAUGAAAAAGAAGAUGGUCUAGAGUCUUCUAUUCCCUUUCCCGACUAUUAGGAUACGAGUUGUCUUACUCAACUAUCCGAGUAUUCGUCAUCCAUUCAAAACACCUUAAUCGUCAGUAAAUCCUUUUUAUAAUUAAGGAUGAAAAAGAAAGUGGUCUAGAGUCUUCUAUUCUCUUUCCCGACUAUUAGGAUACGAGUUGUCUUACUCGACUAUCCGAGUAAUCGUCAUCCAACCAAAAAUAUCUUAACACAUCAAAUCUAUUUGUCCUCUCCCCCAUGCGAUCGAAACCAAUCAAACAAAAUAUCAAACAUAUUAACUCAACUUGUCACCCCCGUGUGACCAAAACUCUUUUAAAAAAGAACGCUAUUAAAUCCCUUCUAAUGCGUACAACAAACUAGCGCUUAAGCCUCCGCCGAGAGUAGACAAGCCAACAUUUAGCCUUUAGAACGUGAUCUAAACAACUAUUCGGUAAAUGAUACCAACCAGUCGUAGUUCCCCAAACCACGAAUGCUCUGAUUUCCUUAUUGCACCAUAAGGAUACGUAGGCACGAGAUUGCGAGAUCUUGGCGAGCACAUUAAUAAAAAACCUUCCUUUUCCCCCUUCCGAGGUUACCAUCCAUCUCUAUUUUUAAUCCUUUAUCACUUAAGGAAAAAAAAACAAUAUAAGUUAACAUUCAAAUUGCAAAUUAAACUAAAAGGUUCUCGUUGAAUACAACGGACGUGAGGGGUACUAAUACCUUUCCCUUGUGUAAUUGACUCCCGAACCCCGAAUAUGGUUGCGACGACCAUUAUUUAAUCUUUCAAAGGUUUUAUCGAUAUUUUCCUAUUCCUUUAUUGGGAUAAAUAAAGUUCGAUGGAGACUCUUUUCGAACAUAAUUUUUUUCGCGACCAUCGCGAGGAAUCGUAUUUUUCGAGUUGCGGCAUAUAUAUAUGCUAAUAAAAGGUACAAAACUUAUACCAACCAAAGUUUCAUUCCAUCAACUACAAUUCUCUAUUUUAUUUUAUUUUUUACAAUUUUUUUUAUAAUACUUUUUUUAAUUAGCAAAUGUUAGUAAUCCAUUCUAUAUGCACCACAGAAAAUUUAAAGCAACAUAAAAAAAAUCAAUUAUAUUUUCAAAAUAGCAAGUCUUACAACCUGUCACCACCGAGGUUUCCGGAUAACGAGUGUCGGGACCUCCUAGAACAAGAAGAUCAGAAGAGUUACCACCGAGUUUUAUUUGUAUGUCUCUAUCGGAGAGGCAAGGGAAAAUAGUCGAUAAAACUCUCAAAAAAGAUAAGCGCACGGGAAGCGCUAGAGAUUAGAUAAGGAAUUUGUCUCGCAACCGAGAUUAAGGUUCGGGAGUCGGUUACGCAAGAGAAAGGUAUUAACACCUCUCACGUUCAGGGUAUUUCAUGGGAACCAUUUGAGUUGUUUUACAUACAUGCGGUGUAUCUGUUAUUGUUUUAUUUUUCAAAAGAAUGUGUGUGAAAGAGAGGGGUUUUAGGUUUUUUUAUCAUAGUGCUUGCCAAGGAUUGGGGCCCUUGUACCUACAUAUCACUCAUUCGGGGAUGAGGAAUCAGAGCUCCGUAGUUCGGAGUAGAAAAUGUUUGUGUGUUGGAUUGAUUUUACCUAUGAGAAAAGGGUUUUCAGAGUGGAUGCGCUAUGACACGAAAAUAAGAUUUGAUGGGUUGUGCUGAUUUUACCUUAAAGAAGGGUUUAUGAAAAGAAUUUAUGAUUAGAUUGCACUAAAGUCUAGGGGCAGAGGUGAAUAUUCUAGAUAACAAGUCAAGCGUCUUGCAUCUAAAAUAAUUAGAGUGAGAGUAGGAAUGCUCCAUUCUCACUCAUUCUCCACCACUUAAGGCUUGUGGUGCACAAUACAUAAUCAUAGUUAUUAAGUGUUUUGAAUUUGAUUAAGAAAAAUCCAUUUGACGUUGGAUCAAGGGUUUGUUUAUUUGAUUGAGAAAUGUGGCUUAUGCUACAUGGAUGCAAAGUAACCAACAAAAAAAAUAAAGGGGUCUCAUUGUAAGGUAGCCCAAGAGAAAGCUUUGUGUGUGCAAAAGUGUGACCUAAGUUAAACAUAGGAUAAUGGUCUUACAAAUAUGUCCCCGUAAGGUGGUGCCAUGAUGUCAUUCUUACAACAUGUAUGCAAGUUACAGAUGAAAUCCAAAGCUUACAGAGUAUCACAAAGAAAAUGGAAAAGGCUCCAAGCAAAGAUUCUAAAUGGAAUCCUCUAAGUCCAAAAUGAUUAAGUAUCAUGAUUUGUUUUUGGUCUUAUAAUUUUAUCAUGUUUUGUUUUAUUUUAUAAUGACAAUAAUUAAAGACAAUAGUAAAGUGUGUGUGAUAAAUUUGUACAAUGAUGAUGAUAAUGAUGAGAGCUUGAACAUAAAUGAUAUAAAAGUAAAUAACAAUGAAUAAUAACAAUGAUAAUAACAAUAACAAAAGGUUAGUAAUAAUCAAAGUUAACAAAGUUAAAGUUAGGGUUAUGAACAAGUGGAUAACUUUUGAGGAUUAUCUAUCUUUAAGUCAACAGAUUCAAAAUAUGGCGCGUCGAGGGAUACCUUAUCUCUGAUGCAAAGUAAGGAAGAUGAUCAAUGGAUCAACUUACCCUAUAUUUACAAUAAUGAAAGUUUUUCAACCUCAAGUCCAUCUAUCAAUAGAUUUACAAAAAUAAGACUAUACAACCCAAAAUUGAAAGGUUGAUUUAAGUUGUUUAACAAGUUAUAUUGAACAAGUUAUAUGGACCAGGCACAAUGUUAUCAAGUUAUAUUAACAAGACAUAAUAGUAACAAGUUAGCAAAGGGGUUAGUGUAUAAACAAAAGAGUAUAAGGUGUUAGUGGGUUAGUAUAAACCAAAUGAAAUAGGAAUGUAUCAGAUUCUCCUAUGGCUAUGUUUACUUCUCCUGUUAACAACAGUAAAUUUGAACCUUCUUCUUGUCAAACUUCUCCUUUCCCUUCUGAUUUUCUUCUUAUCAGAGUUGAAGACUUUUGACUUCUGAUAACCACCACCACUUCUCUCUUCUUGGCCUCAGACCAAGACUGCUUCUGAUUCUUCUUACUAGAAGAUGCCUUUAGAGCUUGCUCUAUCUCUCUUUAAGAGGUUCUCUCAGACAAAAACGACCGUUGUGCCUUUAGACUACUCUGCAUCUCUUCAGCUCUCAUGGCACUCAGAUCGUUAGAAUGUUCAAUUGCUACAACAAUGUAAUCAAAUUGAGGAGUAAGUGAUCUCAAUACCUUCUCAAUUAUUACUUGUUCAGAAAGAGUCUCUCCACAAGAUUUCAUCUCAUUUGUGAUCAGAAUCACUCUAGAGUUGUAAUCUAGUAUGUUUUCAUUGUUCUUCAUGUUGAUAUUCUCAUACUACUUAUGCAAAGACUAAAGCUUCGCCUUUUUCACUUAUGCAUCACCUCCAUAGCAACGUAUAAGUAUGUCCCAAGCAAUAUUUGUCAUCAUUGAAUCAACGAUCUUUUCAAACACAUUCACAUCCACACACUGAUGGAUGUAGAACAUAGAUUUCUGAUCCUUCUUCCUCAACCGCUACGUGUUCCUUUGUGCUUCAGUUGCGUCUACUACAACCGCUACAUAACUGCCAUUGACGAGAUCAAGAACAUCUUGAGAGCCAAAUAACAUACGCAUCUGAAUCAUCCAUCGAUUCCAAUUCUUUCCAUCAAAUACUGAAAGCUUUAUGUUCAAGCUACCGUUUCCACUGUUCAUCUUCGAUCUUGUGCAAUAAUUCACUCAGAUCUCACUAAACACUCGUGUUUCCCAAUCCCUCAGAAUCAAGAAAUGUGAUUCUGUUACAAUUUCAAUCAUAAAUUCAACACGAAUUCAAGAAAAAAAAUCAAUCACACACGCCUCACGUACACUCGUGUUUCCCUUGUUGUUUCCACGGGGUCCGAACCAGAGCUCUAAAUACCAAUUGUUGUUACACAAGAGGAAGAAGAUGAAGAUUAUGAAGAUGGAGAGAGAAGAGAGAUAAACUGAUGAAUUUAUAACUAAUUUUUCUCUAACAGAAUUUGAAAUUGAUUACAAAAGAUUCACACACACUAAAACUGAAAAACUAACUUUUAGUAUUUAUACAUCAGAGUCUAAAUACAAAUUCAAAUGCAAACGAAAUUACACCUAAAUGAAACUGAACUGAAUUACAAUCUAACAAUUUAAUAUCUUAAAUCGUAUCUCAAACUAGUUGAGCCACUCUUUAAUAAUUUAAAAAACGAACAAAACGAAAAAAAUAAAUAACGAAGUUCAAUUCCAUAAUUCUUUCUAAAAGGUAGAAACUUUUGUAACUUGAGAAAUUUUUAUUUUAUUUUAUUUUUCUAGUUUAAAAGAAAUGUCUAUAUAAAAUGCAUAAGGGGAUGAUGAUAAUUUUAUUUUCUUUUAUUUCCCUGUAGUGAGUCACUCAUUUGACGUUAUUAUUAAAAUUAAAAAAUAAAAAAAGAAAAAAGAAAAAAGAAAAAAGAAAAAAGAAAAAAGAAAACUUUUAUUAAGGGCCUGUUUCUUUUGUAUUUUUUUAAAAAAAUAAUUUUCUAAUAUAAUAUAAUUUUGUAUUAAAAAUUAUAAAGAAACAUUUCAUAAAAACUUAAAAAAUUUGAUUUGAGUAGCUAUUCUUAAAAUAUUUUUUUUUUAAUUUUAUUAUUUUAUUGAAAUGUUUUUUAGAUAUUACAAUUUCAAAAAAUCAUAUAAUUUUGAAUCUAUUUUAAGUAAUUUUUCAUAAAUAUCAUUUUUGAGAUACAAUUUUGUUUCAAAAAAACAUGUGAUUUCGACUAUGUUUGAUCUUCAAUAACGUAUAUUUAUGCUAUAGGAUGUCAAAAUUAGUCUUUAAAAUUAAUAUAUAUUUUAUAAAAACUUGUAAUAUUUUGAAAACUAUUUUUAUAAAAUUUAUUUUUUAAAAUACAAAAAAAAAAAGAAAUUCAUGUUUUUACAACUAAAACAAACAUGCAUUAAAUCACUCCCACAGUUGUUUAGUAAUUUUGUUUUAAAUAUAAAAAUGAAUUCUCUUUCAUUAUUUAAGGUCGUUAUGUCAUAUUUAAUUUCACCUCUAUUUUUUAUUAUUAAUUAUCUUACACAUUUUCUAUAAAGUGAUUAUUAAUUUUUUUAAAAAUUUAAAAGAUAAAUUUAUCAAAAUUCAACUUUCAUAAAAAUUUCUUUGUGCAUAUCCUUUGUUAUUACGUCAUCCACUUAAAUGAAGAUAAAUGUGAUUUUGAGUGUAAAAAAAGCAUUAAACGGAGUGUAGUUGAAUCUCUCCCAUGAAUAACUUCUUUUAAAAGACUUGCUUUAAACUCAACCGUGCUGUAUAAAAAAUAUGCCUAUAAAUAUAGCAUAAUCAGAGUCACAUUAAUAAACAUCAUUUAGUGAACUUCCUUGUUUGGUAACAUCUUUCAAUUUUCUUAUCACUAUCAUGGCUGCAAGAAAUAUGGAGGUUGAAUACAUAACUGACGACUCCAGGAGAAAGGAAACAUUCAGAAAAAGGAAGCAAGGUUUUAUAUUUUCUUUCUCCUUAAUUUCUCUAUGGCAUAUUCCGAGUAUUCAAAUUUACUAUUAGAAAUUUAACAUCAAUAUUAUUAUUUCAUAUGUUACAUGCCUUUUAACGGUGUAAUCACAUUGAAAAUUGUGAAAAAAUUGUAAACAAAUGCAUUUUUCUGUCAAUUCUCUUCACCAUAUUGGUUGUGACUUUCGACAGGUAUCAUUAGGAAGAUGGAUGAAAUCACCACCCUUUGUGGAAUUGAAGCAUGUGGUAUAAUAUAUGAUGAAAAAGAAUCACAACCAACAAUUUGGCCAUCAAAAGAUACAUUUCAUACAUUGUUGGACAGAUUUAAAAGUCUUCCUGAAUCGGAUCAAAGAAAAAUGAUGUUGGAUCACAAGGGCUUCUUGAAGCAGACUAUAGCAAAAGAUCGAAAGAAAUUAAUGAAACAAAAGCACAUCACCAAGAAAAAUGAAAUGAAUAAUUUACUUGAUCAUUUUAUCCAAACAGGAGAGUUUGAUGGAAAUGAUUUGAGUGAGAGUGAUCUCGAAGAUUUGUCAUUGCUUAUAGAUAACAGUCUAAAAGGAGUCGAGCAGAUGAUGAUGAAAUAGAUUCACGCAAAAGGGUAUUACCCCAAUUGCUCAUUGUCUUAGAUCAUAUUUCCUUUGAAAAACAUCGUUUACUGUAUUUAUGACAGUCAAAUGUAUUGGAUAUAGUGUUUAGACCAAAUAUAUUUAAGUUUUUAUAUAUGUUUCAAUCAAUUUAAUGAAUGUUAUUUUUAGUUUUUCUUUUGUCAUUAUUUGACUUUAUUUAAAUAUGUAUUUUAUUGUUAGUCAAAAUAACUUCCUGGUUUAAAUAUGUUGAAUUUGUUGAUUAAGUUUUGCCCAUGUUCUUAAGUGUCAUAUAUACGAUACUCUUGUUAUAGGAGCGAUUUUUGGUUUAUUCUCUCUAAGUUUUAGUAGUCAUUAUUUUAGUCCUAUAUAUUCAUUGCAUAGAUGUUGUGUUGGUCUUUGUUUAGUACCAAUGAAGUUCUUAUUUUUAUUGUAACAUCAAAGCUUUAUUAUAUUAUAUAUUGGUUUGUUUACUUCUUCAAGUUUUUCACAUAAAAAUCAAAGUCACGUGGUAUUGGAAAUUUCAUACUUUUUGUACAACAUGGUUAUUGGUUGGGAAUACAUUUUUCUAAUGAUCACUUUUUUGGUUUUGUAUAUUCGAUGCAGAGAUAAUGUGUUGGUUUUUAUUUGUACCAAUGAAGCCUGUUAUUUUCAUUGCAGCAUCAAAGUUUUAUUAAUUUGUCUACGUCUUCAUAUUUUCCACAAGAAAAUCAAAGCCAUGUGAUAUUGCAGCUUUCAUACUUUUCGGUGUAGUAUGGUCAUUGGUUGGGAAUACGGUUCUCAUUUUUUAUUGAUCCUUUUUUUUUGGUCAUGUAAAUUCAUUGCAUAGAUGAUGUGUUGGUCUUUGUUUGAUAUCAAUGAAGUCCGUUAUUUUUAUUGCAGUAUCAAAGUUUUAUUAUACUAUUCAUUGUAAUAUUGUAUCACAACUAUUGUAGUGAUUCUUUAUAAUUUCCGUUCUAUAUUUUAAUCAAUUUUCCUUUCAAUCUUUGAGAAAAAUAUUUAUUUUAAAAAAUUAAUUAUUUUACUUUUCAAAUUCUUAAAUACACACACAUCAAAAAAAAACAACUUACUUUAUAAGCUUUUAAAGAGUACCGAUGGAAAACUCGUUAGCAUUUUUUAUUUCUUUUUUAUGUCUUAGAGUAAAUAAAAUUUGUAUUUUUAUAAAUAAAUUUUUUAAAAAUAAAUAUUGUAGUUUUAUUUAUAAUUUAAUAUUUAAUAUUAAAUAUAUACAAUAAAUAAGAUACAUGCUUGUGCAUGGAGGCCAUCCAUAGCGGAUUUAUACUGACUGUGGUAAAAAGUGAAAAUGGUGCUCCUUUCAUUGAACACCAUCGCUCGCUCAUUCUUUUAGGGGGAAUACUAAAUGCACCAUAUGGAUUACUAUCACACCCUCAUAAAAAUAUAAUAAUGUCCCCACAUUUUAGAGAUGUAUCAACAGACGCAUCCCAACUAAAUACAUUUUUGAACAAGUCUCUAAAGCUAUGUAAAAAUAAUUAUGAAAAUGCAUCUCCAUGUAAAUUACAGAGAUGCAUCUCUGGACACUGUUUGCUCAAACGCUCCAGAAUCUUUUUUCCUUUCUCACUUCCAAAAAACACUCUCAAGUUUUUCAUUCUCUCUAAACUCACUGUUUACCGUGAAAAUUGGUAAACAAUCGUUGAUCUUCCAAAUUAUUAAAUUUGGUUACUUACAAGAUCGAUCAAAUUGAUUCUAGGACAUGUGCUAAUUAUUUGUUAAAGUGAAUUCUAAUGAACAUAAGCACUCCGACAGUGUUUAUAAUAAUAAUAAUUCAUGAAAAUACUCAAGAAAAAGGAGAUGAACAACAUAGAGUAAAGAGAAUGUUGUAAAAACGAAGAUAAAUGGAAACAAAGAUAAAUCCUUUAAAUAAAGAGAUAUUUCUGGAAAUAAAAGAUGAAUUGAAUUACUUCAAAGUAAAUGACAAUGGUGUAAAUCAAACGUACAUUUCUCAAUUUACUAUUUUUCUACACACGGAUACUUGGUAAAUUUUACAGAUUUUGUACACACUUUAAACACACAUGAUCCUAGCACUAAGACCUUUUAUUUAUACUAAUCGAAAUAACCGCUUCUAACGGUCUUUCUACCAUAUCGAGACAAAUGACACUUUGUAUGGAUGCAACUAUCCACUAUGCUCCACGUGUAUCUUCAGCAAUUUAGAUAAGAACAAAGGUUCCCACCUUCAUUUAAAUU